CCACCUCCUGCCUGCAAAUCUCUGCCUCAGACUCUGUUUCCUGGGUAACCUGACCUAAGAAAAUUGAUCAUACGCAGAACCCUACUAUAGCUGACUCCUUUGAAGAACUGUGAAAGAUGCGGGGGCGAGAAAAUAAAAAUCACAGGGUUGGCCUCAACAGUUGUAAUUGUCCUACACCACCUUCUCCUGGAAAUUGCUGCACCAUCGAUCCCAGCCUGGGUCAACAUCUCUAUCCUAUUGACUUGUAACAAAGAGACUGAUAAUGUAGUUUUCUACUACAAACAUGAAAUUGAGAGCUCUGGCAUGGAUGCGUGCAUGGAGAAACAGUUGUGUUGUUCAUGUAAGAGACGAAUGCAACAGACAAGAAACCAUAUUAUCCACAGUGACAAUAUUUAGAAAGCAAAACCUGAGCCUCCUGGCUACAUAAUGAAGAUUUUCCACAUGGAGCUGAGUUAGAUUGUAUACUGUAGAAAAUGAAUUAUUCAAUGAAAUAUAUAUAAGGAAAGAUCACUCUGUCCUCUACUUGUAACUCAUAUGUAAUCAUGACUUCCCCAAUAAAUACAUUUGUAAAUGCUU
Molecule: non-coding RNA, 576 nt
Organism: Macaca mulatta (Rhesus monkey)
Lineage: Eukaryota; Metazoa; Chordata; Mammalia; Primates; Cercopithecidae
Source: RefSeq, a predicted model, not a curated record